Molecule: ribosomal RNA, 441 nt
Filed under: uncultured bacterium
Lineage: Bacteria
Description: partial 16S ribosomal RNA
Rfam family: Bacterial small subunit ribosomal RNA
Source: RNAcentral
CCUACGGGAGGCAGCAGUGGGGAAUAUUGCACAAUGGGGGGAACCCUGAUGCAGCGACGCCGCGUGGGUGAAGGAGUAUUUCGGUAUGUAAAGCCCUAUCAGCAGGGAAGAACAAUGACGGUACCUGACUAAGCAGCACCGGCUAAAUACGUGCCAGCAGCCACGGUAAUACGUAUGGUGCAAGCGUUAUCCGGAUUUACUGGGUGUAAAGGGAGUGCAGGCGGCGCGUUAAGCCUGGUGUGAAAGUCCGCGGCCCAACCGCGGGACUGCAUUGGGAACUGGCGCGCUGGAGUGCCGGAGGGGUAGGCGGAAUUCCUAGUGUAGCGGUGAAAUGCGUAGAUAUUAGGAGGAACACCAGUGGCGAAGGCGGCCUACUGGACGGUGACUGACGCUGAGGCUCGAAAGCGUGGGGAGCAAACAGGAUUAGAUACCCUAGUAGUC